Molecule: unclassified non-coding RNA, 819 nt
Filed under: Monomorium pharaonis (pharaoh ant)
Lineage: Eukaryota; Metazoa; Arthropoda; Insecta; Hymenoptera; Formicidae
Description: eR membrane protein complex subunit 7, transcript variant X1
Source: RNAcentral
CGUGGGCAUCGCCAACUUGACCACAGGUGAAUAUACAGUGAUAUGCAGCUUAUAGGUACAAAAUUGAGAGGUUAGUGAUCGUUCUCUCGUCAUGAGGAGAAUUCUGUGUUUACUUGUAAUCCUCGCGAAUUUAUGCGAGCAAUACGUAAAAGCGGAGCAUGAGGAAGAUGGGUCUACGGAUCUGUUUGUGAUCGAGGGGAAGGUGUUCCCCUGGGACAACGCUGCCUCUACUGGGUGGCAGCUCAUGACGCAUGUAAUGGCAAACGGAGGAGAGCAUUACGGUUUUCUGAGGGAAGAUGGUACAUUCAUAAUCACAAACGUUCCGUCUGGGUCUUAUAUGGUUGAAGUGGUGAAUCCGAAUUACGUUUACGAACCAGUUAGAGUGGAGAUCAAUUCCAAAGGAAAAUUCCGUGCUCGAAAAGUUAAUUUGAUACAGACGUCGCAAGUAAUUCAAGUACCUUAUCCAUUGAAAAUGAGGCCUUUAGCACCAUUUCGAUAUUUCCAAGUUAGAGAGCAAUGGCGAUUAACGGACUUCCUGUUCAAUCCCAUGGUUCUGAUGAUGGUUCUGCCACUUAUACUGAUCAUGAUUCUGCCAAAAAUUAUGAAUGAUCCUGAAACUAGGAAGGUAAGAAGACCUAAAGACCAGCCAAAAAUUGAGUGACCCUAAAGACUAGGAGGGUUCUUUUUUCUAAAUAUCUAUAAAUAAAUGAAAAAUAAUACUGAAAUGGAGCAAUUAAAUAAUCUCACUAUCUAUAAUAUGCCAGAAAUGUCUGAAGUAAUAACGUCUUUUCUUUCUGGAGGAGAAAAACAAAAAUCAAA